Non-coding RNA from Hyaena hyaena (striped hyena), 527 nucleotides. Lineage: Eukaryota; Metazoa; Chordata; Mammalia; Carnivora; Hyaenidae. The record is from the annotation of a RefSeq genome assembly.
GUGGCAAGGCCUCCCAUGGAUGGGUUUUUAUAUCAGCCUGUAUCACAGUGUUGGGUGUUCGGCGGAGGCACCCAGCUGACCGUCCUAGGUCAGCCAAAGUCUGCUCCUUCAAUCACCCUCUUCCCACCCUCUCCUGAGGAGCUCAAGGCCAACAAGGCCACCCUGGUGUGCCUCAUCAGUGACUUCUACCCCAGUGGCUUGACAGUGGCCUGGAAGGCAGAUGGCAACCCUGUCACCCAGGGCGUGGAGACCACCAAGCCCUCCAAACAGAGCAACAACAAGUACGCAGCCAGCAGCUACCUGAGCCUGUCACCUGACCGGUGGAAAUCUAGCAGCAGAUUCACCUGCCAGGUCACACAUGAGGGGAGCACCGUGGAGAAGAAUGUGGUCCCUGCAGAGUGCUCUUAGGUCAAGAGGCCCCCACCUACCCCCAAGGGGGUGCGCAGCCAUUGGACCUACAGGAAGGAUUUCCCUUGCACCAAGAUCGUCCCAGCCCUUCUCCCUUUAUUCAAUCAAUGCUCAAUAAA